This 253-nucleotide ribosomal RNA is filed under the name uncultured bacterium. RNAcentral describes it as "partial 16S ribosomal RNA". It matches the Rfam family "Bacterial small subunit ribosomal RNA", at positions 524 to 776 of the family's 1533-position model. The record is from RNAcentral.
UACGGGGGGGGCAAGCGUUGUUCGGAAUUACUGGGCGUAAAGGGCUCGUAGGUGGCCAACUAAGUCAGACGUGAAAUCCCCAGGCUCAACUUGGGAACUGCGUCUGAUACUGGAUGGCUUGAAUUCGGGAGAGGGAUGCAGAAUUCCAGGUGUAGCGGUGAAAUGCGUAGAUAUCUGGAGGAAUACCGGUGGCGAAGGCGGCAUCCUGGACCGGCACUGACACUGAGGCACGAAAGCGUGGGGAGCAAACAGG